Molecule: small RNA, 28 nt
Filed under: Bombyx mori (domestic silkworm)
Lineage: Eukaryota; Metazoa; Arthropoda; Insecta; Lepidoptera; Bombycidae
Description: ovarian small RNA-21738
Source: RNAcentral
UAGAAAAUCAUUACGAUGACUUGUGUAC